UACUUAGCAAGCGGACACGUGGCUCUACC
This 29-nucleotide non-coding RNA is filed under the name Rattus norvegicus (Norway rat). The record is from RNAcentral. Lineage: Eukaryota; Metazoa; Chordata; Mammalia; Rodentia; Muridae.